GAGGGUGCGAACGUUGCUCGGAAUUACUGGGCGUAAAGCGCGUGUAGGCGGGUCGGCAAGUCAGGCGUGAAAUCCCCAGGCUCAACCUGGGAACUGCGCUUGAAACUGCCGGUCUUGAGUAUCGGAGAGGGUGGCGGAAUUCCUGGUGUAGAGGUGAAAUUCGUAGAUAUCAGGAGGAACACCGGUGGCGAAGGCGGCCACCUGGACGAUUACUGACGCUGAGACGCGAAAGCGUGGGGAGCAAACAGGAUUAGAUACCCUGGUAGUCCACGCCGUAAACGAUGGGUGCUAGGUGUCUCGGGUAUUGACCCCUGAGGUGCCGUAGCUAACGCGUUAAGCACCCCGCCUGGGAAGUACGGCCGCAAGGCUA
RNAcentral lists this ribosomal RNA (370 nucleotides) under uncultured organism. RNAcentral's name for it is "bacterial SSU rRNA". It matches the Rfam family "Bacterial small subunit ribosomal RNA", at positions 528 to 896 of the family's 1533-position model. The record is from RNAcentral.